Molecule: unclassified non-coding RNA, 375 nt
Filed under: uncultured Eubacteriales bacterium
Lineage: Bacteria; Bacillati; Bacillota; Clostridia; Eubacteriales
Description: contains 16S-23S intergenic spacer region
Source: RNAcentral
UCCGGUUUGUCACCGGCAGUCUCAUUAGAGUGCCCAACUAAAUGCAGCAACUAAUGACAAGGGUUGCGCUCGUUGCGGGACUUAACCCAACAUCUCACGACACGAGCUGACGACAACCAUGCACCACCUGUCUUCCUGUUCCCGAAGGAACUUCCCCGGUUAAGGGUAAUGCAGGAGAUGUCAAGUCUAGGUAAGGUUCUUCGCGUUGCUUCGAAUUAAACCACAUGCUCCGCUGCAUGUGCGGGCCCCCGUCAAUUCCUUUGAGUUUUAAUCUUGCGACCGUACUCCCCAGGCGGAAUACUUAAUGCGUUAGCGGCGGCACAGAGGUCAUGACAACCCCUACACCUAGUAUUCAUCGUUUACGGCGUGGACUAC